AGCGAACGCUGGCGGCAGGCUUAACACAUGCAAGUCGAACGGGCGUAGCAAUACGUCAGUGGCAGACGGGUGAGUAACGCGUGGGAACGUACCUUUUGGUUCGGAACAACCCAGGGAAACUUGGGCUAAUACCGGAUAAGCCCUUACGGGGAAAGAUUUAUCGCCGAAAGAUCGGCCCGCGCCUGAUUAGCUAGUUGGUGUGGUAACGGCGCACCAAGGCGACGAUCAGUAGCUGGUCUGAGAGGAUGAUCAGCCACAUUGGGACUGAGACACGGCCCAAACUCCUACGGGAGGCAGCAGUGGGGAAUAUUGGACAAUGGGCGCAAGCCUGAUCCAGCCAUGCCGCGUGAGUGAUGAAGGCCCUAGGUUGUAAAGCUCUUUUGUGCGGGAAGAUAAUGACGGUACCGCAAGAAUAAGCCCCCGGCUAACUUCGUGCCAGCAGCCGCAGUAAG
Molecule: ribosomal RNA, 452 nt
Filed under: uncultured bacterium
Lineage: Bacteria
Description: bacterial SSU rRNA
Rfam family: Bacterial small subunit ribosomal RNA
Source: RNAcentral